Molecule: ribosomal RNA, 228 nt
Filed under: uncultured bacterium
Lineage: Bacteria
Description: partial 16S ribosomal RNA
Rfam family: Bacterial small subunit ribosomal RNA
Source: RNAcentral
UCGACGUAGGGCGUUUGUUAAAGUCAGAUGUGAAAGCCCGGGGCUCAACCUCGGAAUUGCAUUUGAAACUGGCAAACUAGAGUACUGUAGAGGGGGUAGAAUUUCAGGUGUAGCGGUGAAAUGCGUAGAGAUCUGAAGGAAUACCGGUGGCGAAGGCGGCCCCCUGGACAGAUACUGACACUCAGAUGCGAAAGCGUGGGGAGCAAACAGGAUUAUAUACCCUGGUAG